GGAAGAUGGCCAUGGCCCCAGGCCCUUCACUGGCACAGGUGUAUGCUAGCCCCGGGGUUGUGGCCGUGUGGGAAUGGCAGGAUGGGCUGGGCACCUGGCACCCCUACAGCGCUGCCGUCUGCACCUACAUCGAGCAGCAGUUUGUCCAGCAGAAGGGCCAGCGCUUCGGGCUCGGGAGUCUGGCCCACAGCAUCCCCCUGGGCCAGGCUGACCCCUCGCUGGCCCCGUAUAUCAUCGACCUCCCCAGCUGGACCCAGUUCCGCCAGGACACUGGCACCGUGAGGGCUGUUCGGAGGCACCUGUUCCCCCAGCUCUCAGCCCCAGGCCGGGGCAUUGUCUGGGAGCAGCUAAAUGAUGACGGCUCGUGGACCGCCUAUGAAGCCAGCGUCUGUGACUACCUGGAGCAGCAGAUGGCCAGGGGCAGCCAGCCCGUGGACCUGUCUCCCCUGGGAUACAACUACACAGUCAACUACGCCACCCACACACAAACCAAUAAGACUUCCAGCUUCUGCCGCAGCGUGCGGCGCCAAGCAGGGCCCCCUUACCCAGUGACCACCGUCAUUGCUGCGCCGGGCCACACAGGAGUCGCCUGCUCUUGCCACCAGUGCCUCAGCGGCAGUGGAACUGGCCCUGAGUCAGGCCGCUACCGCCACUCCAUGACCAACCUCCCUGCAUACCCUAUCCCUCAGCCCCCGCACAGGACCGCUGCUGUCUUUGGGGCCACCAGGCCUUUGCCCCAUAUAACAAACCCUCACUCUCUGGGGCUAGGUCUGCACCCCGGCUGAAUACCACCAACCCCUGGGGUGGGGCCCCUCCCGCUUUGGGGAGCCAGCCCCUCUACCGUUCCAGCCUCUCCCACCUGGGACCGCAGCACCUGCCGCCAGGAUUGUCCGCUUCCGGUGCAGCCAGGUAUCGUGUCACUGCUGGUCAUUUUGCCUGCCCCGAGUGCCCUACCUACAGAGGGACUCCAAAGCCAGAGCCAGAGCAGGUGAUAAGAAACUACACCGAAGAGCUGAAACCCCCCCUCCUGAUGAGGACUGCAUCAUCUGUGUGGAGAGACAGGCCGUGGCGUCUGGGUACAGCCAUGUGACUGACGCAAGGCCCUCGGGCCCGUGGCUGUGGCCGCCUCACCAAGUGCAGCCAUGCCUUCCACCUGCUAUGCCUGCUGGUCAUGUACUGCAGUGGGAACAGGGAUGGAAGUUUGCAAGGCCCUUCCUGCAAGACCAUCUAUGGAGAGAAAACGGGAACCCAGCCCCGGGGGAAGAUGGAGGUGUUACGGUUCCAGAUGUCACUCCCAGGCCAUGAGGGCUGUGGGACCAUACUCAUAGCUUAUCACAUUCCUCACGGCAUCCAGGGUCCUGAACACCCCAACCCAGGAAAGCCGUUCACCGCCAGGGGGUUUCCCGCCGGUGCUACCUUCCAGACAAUGCCCAGGGCCGCAAGGUCCUGGAGCUCCUGAACGUGGCCUGGAAGAGGCGACUCAUCUUCACAGUAGGGACGCCCAGCACCACGGGCGAGACCGACACCGUGGUGUGGAACGAGAUCCACCACAAGACAGAGGUGGACCGCAACGUGACGGGCCAUGGCUGCCCUGAGCCUAACUACCUGCAGAACGUGCUGGCCGAGCUGGCGGCCCAGGGUGCAACCGAAGACUGCCUGGGGCAGCAGUGA
Carlito syrichta (Philippine tarsier) is the source of this 1671-nucleotide RNA transcript. It is a transcript of the gene named probable E3 ubiquitin-protein ligase DTX2, with no coding region annotated. NCBI's taxonomy places the organism in Eukaryota, Metazoa, Chordata, Mammalia, Primates, Tarsiidae. The record is from RefSeq and is a predicted model, not a curated record. The transcript has 7 exons.